RNAcentral lists this ribosomal RNA (254 nucleotides) under uncultured bacterium. RNAcentral's name for it is "partial 16S ribosomal RNA". It matches the Rfam family "Bacterial small subunit ribosomal RNA", at positions 524 to 776 of the family's 1533-position model. The record is from RNAcentral.
UACGGGGGGAGCAAGCGUUGUUCGGAUUUACUGGGCGUAAAGGGCGCGUAGGCGGUCGUGACAAGUCACUUGUGAAAUCUCCGGGCUUAACUCGGAACGGUCAAGUGAUACUGUCGGACUAGAGUACAGAAGGGGCAACUGGAAUUCUCGGUGUAGCGGUGAAAUGCGUAGAUAUCGAGAGGAACACCUGCGGCGAAGGCGGCGACCUGGGCCAAUACUGACGCUGAGGUGCGAAAGCGUGGGGAGCGAACAGG